AUUUGAUUUUGUCCUCUGACAGCAGGCUGGUCCUCGCCUGCUCUCCAACCGCCCCCGCGAAAUGUAAUCUUUUUAGGUUAAAGGCCACGGGAAAGUGAUUGGAGCAGGCUUUCAUCAGACCCCAGAAAGCUGGGUUUGGAAGGAGCUCCCUCGGUCACCACAAGCUACAGGAGGGUGGACAUCGAGGGCUGGUUGUGAAGGAGUGUCUUCCAUGAGGAGACCCCUAGGCCACCCCAGACCCCCUCCCAGCCCUUCUCCACCACAGCUGCUCCCUGACGGCCAGCCCAUCAUCCAAGGAAAACAGCCCAGGCAGUGGAAAAUUACAGUUUUCCAAUAAGAGAGACCAACUGCAGCUUUGUAGUUUUCAUUUCAGAAUGAGUACACAUGUCAUGUCAGAAGAGAAACCCUGGCAGGAUCUAGAAGUCACCCGAUGCCAGUGAGAGGAGGCAGCAUUCUCAUCUGCAAAGAUGGAGAAGGGAAGAGAGAUGCUUGCUGCACUCAGGGAGCUGGUACCCAGGCUCCUGGUGCACCUGUUGCUCACAUCCCCUGGAAACAGCAAAGACUCCACACUGAGGUUCCCAUGGGAAGAAAAAAGCCUUCCCCUGCUUCCUCUCAGGAAGAAAGGGAUGCAGGAAAGCAACUCUAUUUGGGCUCCAGUUCUUCCUUGAAACCUCCUGAGCAGAAGGGGAAAUCAGACAGAAUCAACCCCAAAGGCGAUCUCCUGUCUUUUUGAAAUUGCUUCCAGCUAAGCUGUGAAGAAUGUGGGAGACAAAAAGCAUCUCACUCUCCCAUUUAAGAGAAUCAAAAGUCCCAAUAUUGA
Long non-coding RNA from Homo sapiens (human), 820 nucleotides. The record is from Ensembl. NCBI's taxonomy places the organism in Eukaryota, Metazoa, Chordata, Mammalia, Primates, Hominidae.